AUGUGGAGGAACACCAGUGGCGAAGGCGACUCUCUGGUCUGUAACUGACGCUGAGGAGCGAAAGCGUGGGGAGCGAACAGGAUUAGAUACCCUGGUAGUCCACGCCGUAAACGAUGAGUGCUAAGUGUUAGGGGGUUUCCGCCCCUUAGUGCUGCAGCUAACGCAUUAAGCACUCCGCCUGGGGAGUACGGUCGCAAGACUGAAACUCAAAGGAAUUGACGGGGGCCCGCACAAGCGGUGGAGCAUGUGGUUUAAUUCGAAGCAACGCGAAGAACCUUACCAGGUCUUGACAUCCUCUGACAAACCUAGAGAUAGGGCUUUCCCUUCGGGGACAGAGUGACAGGUGGUGCAUGGUUGUCGUCAGCUCGUGUCGUGAGAUGUUGGGUUAAGUCCCGCAACCAGCGCAACCCUUGAUCUUAGUUGCCAGCAUUCAGUUGGGCACUCUAAGGUGACUGCCGGUGACAAACCGGAAGAAGGUGGGGGAUGACAUCAAAUCAUCAUGCCCCUUAUGACCUGGGGCUACACACGUGCUACAAUGUGACAGAACAAAGGGCUGCGAGACCGCUAAAGUUUAGCCAAAUCCCACAAAUCUGUUCUCAGUUCGGAUCGCAGUCUGCUACUCGACUGCGUGUAAGCUGGA
RNAcentral lists this ribosomal RNA (640 nucleotides) under Bacillus sp. AQGSB3. RNAcentral describes it as "bacterial SSU rRNA". It matches the Rfam family "Bacterial small subunit ribosomal RNA", at positions 696 to 1330 of the family's 1533-position model. Lineage: Bacteria; Bacillati; Bacillota; Bacilli; Caryophanales; Bacillaceae. The record is from RNAcentral.